ACAGGGGUCUCGAGCGUUAAUCGGAAUCACUGGGCUUAAAGGGUGCGUAGGCGGAUCCGUAAGCGCUUUGUGAAAUCCCCCGGCUCAACCGGGGAACUGCAGGGCGAACUGUGGAUCUUGAGGAAACUAGAGGCCGGUAGAACGAUUGGUGGAGCGGUGGAAUGCGUAGAUAUCAAUCGGAAUGCCAAAAGUGAAGACAGCCGGCUGGGGUUUUCCUGACGCUGAGGCACGAAAGCGUGGGGAGCAAACCGGA
RNAcentral lists this ribosomal RNA (253 nucleotides) under uncultured prokaryote. RNAcentral describes it as "partial 16S ribosomal RNA". It matches the Rfam family "Bacterial small subunit ribosomal RNA", at positions 525 to 777 of the family's 1533-position model. The record is from RNAcentral.